UACCUUUAUCAGUUAUAACCGAUAAAAUUUCGGUAUAAAUUCGAGGUUAACAACAAUUGAAUCUAUUAUUGUCAACUACUUGUAGUCAGUAAUAUUCUAUUUUCUACAUUAAAACGCCUCAUCUCUUAAGCUAAAAAAAAAUUUCUGAUCCAAAAAUGGCCAAAUUCACCCCCUUGAUGAUUGUUGUAUUGUUUGUUAUUGGCACUGUGCUCGUUAACACUGUGGAGGGCCACGAUGAGCCAUGUGGUCGUUCUGAUUAUACUUGUGAGAAAAAUGAAGACUGUUGCAGCUUCAAAUGCAUUAAAGAUGAAGAUGAGAUGAUAUGUUAUGGAGAUAACAUGGAUCGUUACGCAGCACUUUUAAGGGAACAACGUCAAGGUUAAUAAAAAUUAAAAAUUUUAAGUUACGAGUAACGAUGUAAACCUUCAAUAAAUGCGUAAAUUUCAUUUGAAACAAUAA
Cotesia glomerata is the source of this 459-nucleotide long non-coding RNA. RefSeq lists it as uncharacterized. The record is from RefSeq and is a predicted model, not a curated record. Lineage: Eukaryota; Metazoa; Arthropoda; Insecta; Hymenoptera; Braconidae. The transcript has 3 exons.